Molecule: long non-coding RNA, 959 nt
Organism: Danaus plexippus (monarch butterfly)
Lineage: Eukaryota; Metazoa; Arthropoda; Insecta; Lepidoptera; Nymphalidae
Exons: 3
Source: RefSeq, a predicted model, not a curated record
CGUAGCCUCGGUCAUCUUUCCUGAUGGCACCGUUCAGUUAUACUUUAUUCCCGCUAAUCGCCAAGCCGCAGGGUGGCCGCGGUGUCCAUUUAAUCCUAACAUUGCACAAUUAAAUAAUCUCAAUUUUAGUACAAAUCCAGACGUUUGGAUUGUAAGGAGCAUAUCUCAUCCAUUUACAACAAGUUGUUGGAAUAGAACGAUACCCAGCGUCUAUGGCGAUCAAUUACAACCCAUACAAAUAAAUUCAAACUUCUGUUCAAUUCACCCCUUAUCACUAUUAUCAAAAGUUCCAUAACGACAAUUGCACGUCUACGACAGAUAUUAAAUACUUUUAUCCAAGAUUAAGAUGCGAUGUAAAGUUGAAGUACUCUGCCGAGGUCCAGACGGAACCUUUCAGGAUCUGUGACGUCAUUAAUACAAACGAGGGAAUCUCAAGGGCAUUGCUGUUGUAAAACUCAGGAUGUUAAGAGUUUAAAGGAAGAAAGGAACACGUGUUACUGUUCAGGAUCCAGCACCAGUUAUAUGUCCAUAGAUUCCUCGAGUAAAUCAAAACAUAGGUUACGGAAAAAGAACAAGAAAAAAACAAAAAAAUCCAAAGCUAAAACCUGCGAGUGUGACGAGAAAACCAAGUCCGAUAAAUCUGUAACGACUUACGCCGAUUGUGCGUGCGGCAGUGCGGCGAGGGACGGAGCGCACACACAGACGAAUAAAAAGACCAAAACUAAACGAAAAGACACGAAAACUGACUCAUGGAUCCCACUCGAUAGUUGCAAGUGCGAUUCAUCACUAAGAAUAUGCGAAUCGGAUUACAGUUACUAUGGAAAAUGCUCCUGUGACAGCACAUCAGACGCCGGCGGUAAAUAAAACAAGGGCUUGUUUUUAUAUAUCUUAUUAUACAUUUAUCCCUUAAUGUUACACGUAUUUACAUUUCGAAAACAAAAAAAAAAAAAAAAACAAAA